UACAGAGGGUGCGAGCGUUAAUCGGAAUUACUGGGCGUAAAGCGUGCGUAGACGGCUAUCUAACUCGGGUGUGAAAUCCCCAGGCCUAACCUGGGAACUGCAUUCGAGACUGCAUGGCUAGAGUAUCGGAGAGGGAAGUGGAAUUUCAGGUGUAGCGGUGAAAUGCGUAGAUAUCUGAAGGAACAUCAGUGGCGAAAGCGACUUCCUGGACGAAUACUGACGCUCAUGUGCGAAAGCGUGGGGAGCAAACAGG
This 253-nucleotide ribosomal RNA is filed under the name uncultured bacterium. Its description in RNAcentral is "partial 16S ribosomal RNA". It matches the Rfam family "Bacterial small subunit ribosomal RNA", at positions 524 to 776 of the family's 1533-position model. The record is from RNAcentral.